AACUAGAGUGAUGAAAAAAUAACCUUAGGCGUGGUGUGGCCGUCUUGGUCACCUUUGUGCCACUUGCCAAUGCUAGGACUUGUCAUAGUUACACUGACUGUUA
This is a small nucleolar RNA of Rhinolophus ferrumequinum (greater horseshoe bat), 103 nucleotides long. Ensembl annotates it as small nucleolar RNA, C/D box 46. The record is from Ensembl. Lineage: Eukaryota; Metazoa; Chordata; Mammalia; Chiroptera; Rhinolophidae.